Molecule: non-coding RNA, 21 nt
Filed under: Caenorhabditis elegans
Lineage: Eukaryota; Metazoa; Nematoda; Chromadorea; Rhabditida; Rhabditidae
Source: RNAcentral
UUUCAUGUGGAGUAGUGGGCU